GCUUCUGCGGCCUAAUGGAUCAGGCAUCGGUUUUUCUAAACCAGGGAUUGUGAGUUCGAGUCCCGCCAGGAGUA
Dryococelus australis is the source of this 74-nucleotide non-coding RNA. The record is from the annotation of a GenBank genome assembly. NCBI's taxonomy places the organism in Eukaryota, Metazoa, Arthropoda, Insecta, Phasmatodea, Phasmatidae.